This 138-nucleotide small nucleolar RNA is filed under the name Ornithorhynchus anatinus (platypus). The record is from RNAcentral. Lineage: Eukaryota; Metazoa; Chordata; Mammalia; Monotremata; Ornithorhynchidae.
CCUCUCUCGGGGUCGCACCUGGAGAGUUUCCAGUAAUCUACCAGGGUCGGCUCCGGGAGGGAGAGUAAAGCAGAGGCCUACCCAUUCCAUUCCUAGCUUGGCCAGUGGCUGGCGAGUGGAAAGCAAUCUGCUACAAGU